GACGUAGGAUGCGAGCGUUGUUCGGAAUUAUUGGGCGUAAAGCGUGCGUAGGCGGCGAUCUAAGUCUGGUGUUAAAGCUAGGGGCUCAACCCCUGUGAUGCACUGGAAACUGGGUCGCUUGAGUGUGGUAGGGGAAGGUGGAAUUCCGAGUGUAGCGGUGAAAUGCGUAGAUAUUCGGAAGAACACCGGUGGCGAAGGCGACCUUCUGGGCCACUACUGACGCUGAGGCACGAAAGCGUGGGGAGCAAACGGG
Molecule: ribosomal RNA, 253 nt
Filed under: uncultured bacterium
Lineage: Bacteria
Description: partial 16S ribosomal RNA
Rfam family: Bacterial small subunit ribosomal RNA
Source: RNAcentral